Molecule: long non-coding RNA, 5868 nt
Filed under: Salmo salar (Atlantic salmon)
Lineage: Eukaryota; Metazoa; Chordata; Actinopteri; Salmoniformes; Salmonidae
Description: lncRNA (ENSSSAG00000087324.1, ENSSSAG00000089625.1)
Source: RNAcentral
CAGCCCCCACACCACUAGAGGGAUGUCUCCAACCACCAACUUACCGUCCUAAGACAAGGCCGAGUAUAGCCCACAACGAUCUCCGCCAUGGCACAACCCAAGGGGGGGGCGCCAACCCAGACAGGAAGACCACCAAUGAUUAUAUUCUGCAUUUGCGUAUGUGAUGAAUGACGAUAGCUGGCAAUCAACUGCAGUGAUGGAUUAUUACCACAUAUCAUGGAAUACCUGUGUGCACGUUUAUAAGGACACAUGGCAUGGAAUUAUUGGAUUUGGCUGGAUGGUUGACACAAUAGAAAGGUAGGGCAAUAUUUUUGGGCCUUUAAAUUCUUACAAUAAGAAGACUUAAUAGCCAACACAGGUAGGCUAAUGAUAGGCUAAUCCAGUGAGAUUGUGAACUUCAACCUUUUGAAAAUGUUAUUUAACAGCAAAUAGCCUAGCAUUAUGUGAAAUGCAUUUGGUAAACUGUAUAAAAGCCACAAUCCUUAAUUCACGUUUCAGAGAAAAGGAUGAGAGAGGUGAGAGGAGUGGGAGGUGAGUUGAGGGAAGUGGGUUUCAGGUAGGAUUCUGGGUCAUUAAGUAUUCAUUGGAUUUAAAUUAUGCUGGAGGAGAGAGAGGGUUGAGAAGAUUAGACUAUUGCUUAAAGUGGAGGAGGGGUGGGAUAACAGAAGAAAGAAAGAGUGGAGAGAAGGACAGGGACAGCAUACUAAGACACACACUUCAGAGUCUGGGCUAUAAUAGGGAGCACUCCUGUCAAUCUAGAAAAGUCACAAAGCCAACCCCCUGACACACACACACACACACACACACACACACACACACACACACACACACACACACACACACACACACACACACACAGAAAGAAAGAGAAAAAGAGAUAUGUAUAAUGUUAUUCUGAGCAGCACUCCAUUGGCCAUAAGGCUAACAUAAGACCAUGCAUGUGCCUAGUCUCUAAUGCCUGGAAUAAUAGCAGACGCACGCACACACAAACAGACACACACACAUAACAGGCUGCGCCUGUGUAUAUUUGGUCCCAAAGCCGCAGAAUAAUAGCAGUCAUUACCAAGAUGAUCUCUCUCUCACACACCGUCACAUUGUCCAGCAAGUUAUUCCGAAGCCAGUGUAUCUUAUUACCCAGCAGCCCCAACACUGCUCUAUUAUUCAGGGUGGGAGGGAGGGGGAGAGAGGGAAUGUUUUAUUCAGCUGAGUCUACUGGGGAAGGAGCUGCUCACUGUGCUACUUACAACAGGCCUAUGUAGGCCAAGGAGACAAACGAAUGUACCACACACACACACACACACACACACACACACACACACAACACUAAAUUAAAUAGUCAGAUGACAUUUACCAGAUCACAGUUACUCUGACACCUUGUCUCGUCUGUGUGUGUGUCCUUGGCAACCUCUCGUUAACACACAUACACAAGCGUGACAACGGGCGGUGGUGGCUGAGUAUGAGAGAAGUCAUGUUUGGUAAAAGCCUUAGUAAGUGUCCGUCAGCUUGUGUGUGUGGGUGUUUAAUAAGCUAUGUGAGCAUGUGUGGUUUGCUCUGUGGCAGCUUUGUGUUCGAGACCACCUAAAGCGAGAUCGAUUCAAGACCGGAGAAAAUCGAGUCCGAGUCAAAACCAAGACUGGUUGGGGGGCGAGACCUAGUCAAGACCGAGACCAGAAAAAUGCGAGUCCAAUUCAAGACCAUGAUUGUAAUUGUGUCAAAUCACCACAUAAGAGUUGAAAAUGUCCAGUAUUUCUGUGUUCAUAUUUCAGAACAACAUAUGGAUGCUUUAGACAUUCAGAAUAGUGAACAAAUGGAAAAUAGAGCCACUCUACAAAUGAUUACUAACUCAAACACAGUAGAAAACAAUGGGCCUUCUAUGCCUUCAGAGAAGGGCUAAGGAUUUAUAAAAUAAUGAUUAUAGUAAUGAUAACUGUAAAAUUAUUUUCAAUGACGUUCUGAUUUAAUGUCUAUAGUUUUUGUUGAAAAGAAAAGGGUUAACACUGCUGGACUCUGGGGAGAUAAAUCUAGCUAGCUAAGUCUGCCAUUGGCUAGGCCAUCAGAAGCUAGAUAAAGGCAUCUGUCAUUCAACUGUAUUAGGGCAACAUUUUGGAGUGACAGUGGAAUCAACCAAUCACAUUUUGAUUUAAUGGGUGGGACUGUUUUUACAAAAAGGUAUGGACACUUCUGCCUUCUUGAAGGCCAACAGGUCACUUGUGAGCAAUAGUGAGCAAUAGUGAGCAGUAGUUUUUCCACGGUUUAGCUAGCUAGCUUUUGUUGUUGGCUAGUUUGCAGCGGCUACAGCAGGUGUUAUCAAAGAGGAUAGCUUCUCCCUUUUCAAGAAUAACUUUCAACAAGAAUUUAUCAUCAUCUGGUGAGUGGAACUGUGUUUUUUAUUGCAGCGUGCUUGCUGUUGUUAGCCAUCUCUUUGAAAAUAACUUGUGUAUGAAACAUUGUUGCAUUUUAAGUGGAACUGAAAGCAUUUUAGCAAUAUGAAAUCUUAUUACAAUCUGUUCAUAUACACCCACAGGAAGAAUUACACUUUAAAAAAAAAAUUCUGACAAACGACCACUUAGAUAUGGUCAUUUUCACAUUUUCCUAAAUUCAUAGUGUUUGGGAAUUAAGUAUACUAAAGGCAUGUGAAAAUUCUAUAGAAAUAUAGAGUGGGAAAGCGGCUGUGCGUUUGGACAAUUAAUAAAUAAAUAAAACCAAAUAAAAACAUCUGUCUUGUCCAGUAAUGGAGUCUACACAGAACGUUGAGCUAUAGCCAAUCAGAGCUACAGUACUGUAGGCCUUUAUAUAAACAAGACGUUUGCCACAUGGGCCUGCCAUCAUUCACUUUGAACUGGACUGUGUGUUUACAGGUAGUUGGGCCUGCCGUCAUCCACUUUGAACUGGACUGUGUGUUUACAGGUAGUUGGGCCUGCCGUCAUUCACUUUGAACUGGACUGUGUGUUUACAGGUAGUUGGGCCUGCCAUCAUUCACUUUGAACUGGACUGUGUGUUUACAGGUAGUUGCAACCGCGCAACUUCAGAUCAUUAGAACGCAUUCGCCAAAAGCCACAAAAUACACCUGAAUAGAUUUCUGCAAAUACUGUAUGUAAAACACAACGGGAGUCCUCUUACAUUUGGGAACUUUACAGUCCUAUUGAUCAAACAACCAUGAAAAAUUAGGCUCUCUCUCCCUCAGUGAUACACGUCAACAACAACAAGAUCAAAAACUAAUGCUAGCCAGAGCAAGAUGAGUUAAAUUCUAACUAAGGAACUUUAGAUAAACCCUGUCAAACUUUUUCAGCUAGUUGGCCAUCGAAAUUGCACUGAUAAACGAUGGGGAAUAGCCGCCUCGUCCUUCUGCAGCUUGCCUGCCAAUGCAUGCUUGUCCCAACCAAACACACAUGCUAACUGGCUAAAGUUGGCUAGCUUGCUAGCUAGCUACUUCCAGACGCAAAUGAAAGAACACCUCACUCUGACCAUUUUACUCAUCAUAGCAGAGCUGGUUAUCUAGAGUGUUCUUGACUAACUAUAACUUUUUUUACCUAUCUUUACUGACACCGGUCAUAUUCAGCAGGUGUUGCGCGUUCAUAAAUGCAUCAGUUGUUCUGCGCCUCGACACACUUAGACGAGAGUGCUCCGAGUGAAUUUGGAAUGCAAGACAUAUAACAGUUGUUGAAGUUCUUGCUAGCUAACCAAAUGACACCUGCAUCUUUAGCUGUGUAUAGACACCCGAAAACGAUAUGAGGGGAAAAAGUCAGUCACUUACCCACUCCUCCAAUGGCAUGACAUGACUUUCUAGCAGCUAGCUAACUAUCUAGCUAAUGUUAGGCACUGUGUUUUUAGCUUGCUACAUUUAUAGAUAUGCUGUCUAUUAGCCACGUCAUGACUGACUUGUGAUCAUUGCCCUUGCUAGUUUGAUUGUAUUGACAUUCCCAGUUACAUUCGUCCGUUUUUGUCCAGAAUAUUGAGUAAUUGAAACUGAAACAGUGCAUCCUGAAUAGAGGCAGCAAACAGUGUACCAGUCCAGCUGUGAUUUACAACCUGAUAGCAAUAUGUUUUGAACUAUCAAGAAAUGCAUUGAUGAAUUAUAUUAAUCAUGCAUUGAACUUCAUCCAUCUAUUCUGCCAACAAUACCUUAGUGUACAUCAUGGAACAUUGAGUCAAAUAGAACCUCUUUAUAAAACCUAUUUUAAAGUAGGUUAAGUAGCAUAAAGUGGGAAUUUCUGAUAUUAUGAUUGUCUGUUUCAUAUCUGCAAAGUAGUUAAAACACUGUCAGUUCCACUGUAAACUUUAGGUCACCGGUUACUUUGUGUGCUCAACGUGAAAUGUUUUUUUUGCAAUGGGAAGUAAUAGUUGUACAUUUAGAUUGGAAAAUGCUUAAUAAUUGUGUUUUUGUAUUCUUUUGAUUGGGACCUACUGGCUUAUGAUGUCUGAGUUUAUGGACUGCUUAUCCUUUAACAUGUCACACACAGAAAGCCUACAGGUUAGCCACUGCGUGAACAUGUCUAUUAUAAAUCAAAUGUUAUUGGUCACACACACGUGUUUAGCGGAUGUUAUUGCGGGUGUAGCGAAAUGCUUAUACUGUAGAUAUAAAGGCUGUUAAGAUAAUGUUUCAAGAAAUGUGUGUAUAUUUUUGGCCUGUAGAAGCGGUUUUAUGGGCUGACUGAAUGUAAGCUGAUAAUUAUGAGUUUUUUUACUCCGCUGGUCUCGGCUGGUCUGGGAACAAAUUGUGAUGCUACAUGCUAAUUAGCUGUCAGUGCUGUUUCCGUACUUUGGGGAAUUCGCAUUGGCAUCAGAGAGAGCAGAGAGCCAGCAAUACUCAGCCAAACAGUAAUACCUGCAUAUGGCUACAGCACACACACGCGCAUGCGAGAGAGAGGAAGAGAGAAGAUCUAUUUCUGUGUGAGAUUAGUCGGAACUGGGAGCCCUGGCCGAGCCCUGAUCUGGAGAGUUAUUAAAGAGUGGGAUUAAAGUUGAAGGACCCAGUAACAACCUAAGAAAAGGUUCCUGCUACAGCACUGCCUCAUACGAUUCCCUUCAACGAGAAAGGUAAGGACAGUGAAGACUUGUCCAAGCCCCAUGGGCAAAUGCCUAGGCUUUAAAUCAGUGGGCUAACACAGCCAACCAAGGUUAGAACCCAGACAUUCACACUUACGUUACAAAGACAAACCACAAUUAGAGAAGUUUCAUUUUUGAAUUGUCAGUUUCAUUCUAGUAUAGAAAAUACAUGUCCUCUGGCAUGUUCCAUACAUGGUUUUUACAAAACUACACAUUUUUAUGGGUUCACAUGCAUCUUAAAAUAGAUCUUUGACACUAAAAUAAAACACAUUGUCAUUCCUUCAGGACGACACAUAAAAGUAUUUUAAAUUACCUUGAUGAUGGCCACAUUUCCACAAUUACAUUGUAACAGGUGGCGAUGUAAGGGACUGGGUGAGAACCAUGAGCCUCCUAGGUUUUGCAUUGAAGCCAAUGUACCCAGGGGAGGACAGAAGCUACAGUUGAAGUCGGACGUUUACAUACACCUUCACCAAAUACAUUUAAACUCAGUUUUUCACAAUUCCUGACAUUUAAUCCUAGUAAAAAUUCCCUGUCUUUGGUCAGUUUGUCACGACUUCCGCCGGAGUAGGUACCUCUCCUUGUUCGAGCGGCGUUCGAGCGGCGUUCGGCGGUCGACGUCACCGGCCUUCUAGCCAUCACCGAUCCACUUUUAAUUUUCCAUUUGUUUUGUCUUUGGUUUUUACACACCUGGUUUCAAUUCCCCAAUUACAUGUUCAUUAUUUAACACUCUGUUUUCCCCCAUGUUUGUGUGCGUGUUUGUUUUAUUGUAAGGCUGUAUCUGACGGCUGGUAUAUUGUUACCGGGUUUUGUAUUUACGCCCAU